CCGUUAUUACUUAUAAGAGUCAAGCAGCCCGCUAGAGGCCAGUUAACUCAGACCAUCCAAUUGUCUCCUGUUCGGAAGCCAUCUUGGUGAAGUCAUUUCGCUCCGUUUCAAUAAACAAAUGGUCUCUGGAAAGAUGGCCUCCGCUCGUAGUGUUUGCUUACUGAACUAGCGACAUUUCCAGUAAUGUUUUACUAGCAGCAAUGAUAUAACACUGUACUGUCCGCUUCAAUUGUUUUCCCCCUGUUGAUGUUUUGCAGCCUAGUGACCGGGUAACAGCCAUAGAGGAACAACGCUCUCCUGACUGGUUGGUGAGGGAUGGGGGAAGAAGCCUCUGAUAUCAGCCUGGAUUCAAUGGCGAGCACUACUGCUAGUGAUGUCCUCAUCCGCUCUACCAGUGUCCAUGUGAGAAAGGGGGACAGCAGACCCUCCACUGCUAAUGAGAGAAUGGCCACAGGUGACAGCAGUCCCCUGCACACAGCUGAUACUGGCUGCCAUUAUCCUGGGGCUUCCACACUGGGGCACAGACAGGUGGCAUCCAUUGAUGGCAGUGGGUGCGGGGACAGAGAUGGAAGGAAGGUGCACAUCUCGGUGAAGAGGCUGCGGGAGGUGCCCACUCCUGUCCUGCCAGACUUUGCCUUUAAGAAGCGAGACCCUUCCUACAUCCCCCCGGCUCUACCUGCAAAUAAGUAUCCUGAGGUCACCCUCUCCAUAGUGGAUGAUGCAAGAAAUGGAUCCACAUUACAGAACAUGGAUUCACCAUCACAAAGGGUUCUUGUGACAAAACAUUUUCAGAACAUGGGAGAAGAAAAAAUAGUCAUGAAGAAACCACUAGAUGGCAGCAUACAGAAAAACAAGGACGUUCAGAUUUCACAGUUUACUACAGGUCAGAAAGAGACUUUGUUGGUAGCAUUAAAUAAAAGAGCACAGAAUGGUUCAGGGACCAAACAAGUCCCGGUUCAGUUGCUUGAGGAUGUCCGUGGUAAAGGUAAAAAGGCUGGGACCAGUAUUGGGAAGAAUCAGGAGACCAUUGAGAUCCAGACUGCUUCCAUUGCUGCUGCCACUGCUGCUGCCAUCGCUGCUACUGCUCCUGUGCUAAAGGUUCAGAGUAAUCUGGAGGCCCAAGUGAACUCGGUGUCUCAGCUGCUUAACAAACUUCAGGAAGCUGACCGACAGCUGCAAAUACUCACAGAACAGCACAGCAAGAUCCCCAGUCAGCAGCCACUGGAAAGAUUGUAUCAGGGGAGAGUCAGCGAGCUGGAGAGCAAGCUGACCCUGCUGACAGAGCAGAGGCUCCAGCAUCUGGAAAAGCUCCAGCAGCAGCAACUGGAGAUGCAGUCACAGUUUAUAAACUCUGCUAUCAAGGUUAGUGCAAGUCACCGGGAAACUGCGGCGCCUGUUUGUUCUCAUUUUCCAGUGAGUGUUCCUCUGCCACAGACUACUGCAGCUCCAAAGAACACCGAGAAAGUUACUGCUGCAGCUGUGCAAGAAGUUAAGGAAAAUACUGGGAAAUCUCCACUGGAGACUCCAGCUCCUCGCAGAUUCGCACCAGUGCCAAUUUCUAUGGAUGUUCCAUCAAAAUCAUUGCCAGGGAAAGAAAAUGUGGAGAAACCCAAUCCAUCAACCUCUGGUAAUGUGCAUUUUUUACAUGAACUCCUAGGACGUGACAACACUCCUCUAUCAGGGUCAACAUAUAAAACACACAUUCCCUUAAACCUGACAACGACUGACAGUCGGCCCUUUGGAGACAGCUACAUCCAGAAUAAGGAAGCUUAUGGUGCUCAGAUAUCCUCCCUCACAUCUAGUACUGCAGUGAAAAAGGCCAAUGAUGUGUUGCAGGAUUUGAAUUCUUUAAAGCAAGAGAUGCAAAGUAUGAUGAAGGAUGCAAAGCAGUGGAAAUCUCAAGAAGCUGUCCUGAAGCCCAGGGAGAAGACAAUAUUACUCUCAACUUCUCUGUCUAAAUCUCCUGUCUUAUGGAGAAGAGCUGUGAAUCCCCCAAAGUCAAUGAUUGAUGACGCUGAAUGCAUCUUGAGAGAAUUGCAAAAUAAAAGGAAAGUACUUGAAGACAAUUUAGAAGCCAUUGCCCGAGCCAAUGAUGGGGCACGCAAAUACUCCCUCAUCAGUGCCCUGGCUUCAGACAGUAAUGAAGCAGAGAAAAUUCGAAUUCAGAAGACAGUAGAUGCUUGUAUUACUGAAAUCACCUCUGAAAUUAAGGAUGAAUUGGCAAAAGAAGACUUAAGAAAGAAGAAAUCAAAUGAGAGCUGUAAAGAGUCUGCAGUGAGGAGAAAUGCAGGAAGCGCUAAAGACAUAAAAGAAAAUAGAUAUCUGGACAUCAAAGCUCCAGCAAGCGGUGCAAUGAGGAGUACAAAGCCCUCAUCUGGGGUCUCAGCCAAGCCUCAGUUUAAGAAGACUGGAGAGAAGCUUGCAGGGCAGAGCAAGAGAGCCUUGCCAAAGAAUGAUGAAAGCUCAAAGGUACCUCAGAAGGUCAAUGUGUCUUCGGUGAUGGAUGAAGAAAUGCUGAAUAGAGUCUAUGGGACACCUGUCUAUCAGGGGCGCCGCAGCACUCUAAAAAAGGGUCCAUAUCUUCGGUUUGGCUCUCCCCCUGCCAAGACCAAGCCGCAGCGGCCUAAAGUCAUGGAGACUGUGAGGGGUGUCAAGCUUAAGUCUGCUAAGAUACAGACCAGUUCCCCUAAAAUGGAGAGAGGUCUUAUAAAACCCAGAUCUCCUGAAUUUUCUGUACCAAGGAAUUACACGCCUCAGUAUGUAUUUAUUCCAACAAGAGAGGCAGAUGCAUCGGACGCUCAAAUGCAGGGACACCUCAUCGAAAUGGCUAUUCCACUAGGGAGGCCUCGAUUUGAUAGGGCUGCCCCAUUACCGCACUCUGUAAUUCUUGCUGACCCUCAGCCCGUAGUGAAUGUUUCUAUUCCCCCAAUGCCACCAAAGCCUAAGGCAGAUGUUGUGAAGCCAAACAUUGCUGUAGUGGAGAUGAGGUCCGAGAAAAAGGAUCCGCCACAGCUUACUGUUCAGGUGUUACCUUGCGUUGACAUAGACAGCAUUACCAGCGACAGCCCAGGAACAACGCAUAGGACCCCAAGUCCACAUCCAACUCAUAGGACCCCAAGUCCGGAUAUACCACCCUGUACACCCAGUCCUGUUAAAACUGAUAUACAGAUGCCAGAAAGUGUCGAAACAGAAGAAGAAAUCCUAGCAUUUCCCGGCACAACCUUAGAAGAGACCGACAUCACUCCAGAUGAUCAGGUAGAAGAAGUCCCAGAGCCUUUAUUGGAGCUCAAUGGCUUUGGGGAUACAAAUCCUCCUCAGCAUGGUGGCAUACCGUUCCCUCUUCCGGCUCCUGCACUACAGACAAAUGCUGAUAUUCUUGAUGGAAUCGCUACAAGUAGAGAGACUCUGGUGAACAGAUUGGUCAGCCGGGUGGAGUUGGAAAUCUUUGACAGAAUUAUCAGUGAAAUGCAUUCAGGAAGAGAGGACGUCAUCCCUCAUGUCACCCUAUCCAGCAACGAGAACAGUGAUUCAGUGUCUACUGAGAGUGUAGAUGCAGCUGGAGGUGAAGGCUUGCAGUUUCUCUUUGAUGGUGUCCCUGUAGAAUCCAGCCUGAUUCGCCAGUAUGUUGAAGAAGCCCUGGCAAAGGCUGUUGCCAAAAUACUGGCAGAAAGAAGGACUCAACGCAUCCCACCUUCUCCACCAGCGCAGACUGUGGCUCAGCCGACACCUGUUGAGGUUACUCCAGUUCCAACACCUGAGUGCACUCCACCAUCGUCUCCUCUCCCUCCUCCAAGAGAGACGGCUAUAGUGAAAACACCUGAACUUUCUCCCCAGACUUCAUUGGAAGAACCUGAACUUCAACAAGAUGCAGGACAGAUGGUUCCAUUAACCCAGGUAGUCACCCCCACAAUGACACCAGUAGCUUCUCCUACCAGAGUGAAUACACCAACAUCUCUUAUAUCAGAAGAUAAUGUAAAACAAUCUUCCAUAAAAAGUGCUAAUGCAUGGAACAGUACAGAGCUGCCAUUGGAAGAAGAGAACCCACACUCCCUUAAAGAAGCUGUUCAAUACAAAGAUGCUGUGGUAAUGACGGUGGCUGAAGAAGAAGACCCAAAGAGCUUAAUCUCUGUUACUCCUGAGCCACAGAAACCAAUUGUUGUUUCUCCUAAACAAGAAGCGUUGUCACCUGCUCCUUCCACAUACAGCUCUUCCACCGAGGAAAGCAGCGUAACCAUCACAGAGUCAGACACCACAGACAAACCCCUCUCAGAAGGCGAGGUCCUGUACAGCUAUGGACAAAUUAUUGUUCCAAACGCCUUAGCAGCUGGUGGACUGGGCUAUCCAAACUUGACCGAAAGUUUAUCCAGCACUCUUAAGGAUGCCAAUGACAUGGAAUUUGAUCCUCCCAGUGAAGGGCAGGUAAUGGACAGGCCUUUUAGAGUAGGACAUCAAGAACCCUCCCGGUUGCUCUUGGCCAAAUUGAAUCCGGGUUCCAGAACACGGCAAGAAGUGUUCUACCAUCCUGAGAGCUCUGGGGAUGAGAACAGCAUGGGUGAAAUCAGCGAAGGUCAGAGGUUAUGUCUGACACCAGCGGCUGAACAGAUCCUGAUGGGACAUUCUGCUCUAAUAGACAGAACCGGCACCACAGGUCAAACCGCUGGACAUCUACAGAUACGUCCAUCGUCCAAUUGGCAACAAAUAAAUAUUCCAGGAGUGGGCCAGGGAGACGCCGAUAAUCUUAGUUCUGGGCCAAUGAGUCUCGGUGAUCUGGAAUCUCAGCUUUUGCCUGCUUAUUAUCCACAAGCCGAAGAUUUGCACCAAAUUCCAGCUGCGGCCAGGAACACCUCACAGGGUCCUGGAGAACCUCAAAGGGAGCACCAGCCAGCGCCUACCCGCUUCAUACAAGUUGGCGUUAAGUCAAGCGAUGAUCCACAGCAAGGAAUUCGUGAAGACUCGGACCGAACUCUUGUAGAGCCCAGUGUUUACCUCACCGAUUCAGACAUGAUGGAUUUCAGCGGCUCAAUCCUCUGAGUGAUAUGCCACCACUAUAGGAGUCCGACUGCAGUUUACUCCUCUAUUCAGAACACAUGAACACUCAAUGGAUCAGGAGAGAACGGUCAUCGCACAGCUAUCGCCUGUCUACGGCAGCUGAGCCCUUAAAAAAGAUGUCUGUGACCCUCCCAUCUAUGAUGGAAGACGACGAGGAUGUGAAAUCCCCCCUUGAGGAGUCCGAAUCUUCAGGUGCUGAUUUUUUCUGAAAAAGUAUGGCAGGACUGUGCUG
Molecule: RNA transcript, 5281 nt
Organism: Hyla sarda
Lineage: Eukaryota; Metazoa; Chordata; Amphibia; Anura; Hylidae
Gene name: KIAA0586 ortholog
Exons: 33
Source: RefSeq, a predicted model, not a curated record